RNAcentral lists this ribosomal RNA (497 nucleotides) under uncultured bacterium. RNAcentral describes it as "partial 16S ribosomal RNA". It matches the Rfam family "Bacterial small subunit ribosomal RNA", at positions 28 to 507 of the family's 1533-position model. The record is from RNAcentral.
GAUGAACGCUGGCGGCGUGCCUAAUACAUGCGAGUCGAGCGAACAGACGAGGAGCUUGCUCCUCUAACGUUAGCGGCGGACGGGUGAGUAACACGUGGAUAACCUACCUAUAAGACUGGGAUAACUUCGGGAAACCGGAGCUAAUACCGGAUAAUAUAUUGAACCGCAUGGUUCAAUAGUGAAAGACGGUUUUGCUGUCACUUAUAGAUGGAUCCGCGCCGCAUUAGCUAGUUGGUAAGGUAACGGCUUACCAAGGCAACGAUGCGUAGCCGACCUGAGAGGGUGAUCGGCCACACUGGAACUGAGACACGGUCCAGACUCCUACGGGAGGCAGCAGUAGGGAAUCUUCCGCAAUGGGCGAAAGCCUGACGGAGCAACGCCGCGUGAGUGAUGAAGGUCUUCGGAUCGUAAAACUCUGUUAUUAGGGAAGAACAAAUGUGUAAGUAACUAUGCACGUCUUGACGGUACCUAAUCAGAAAGCCACGGCUAACUACGUG